Molecule: transfer RNA, 84 nt
Filed under: Felis catus (domestic cat)
Lineage: Eukaryota; Metazoa; Chordata; Mammalia; Carnivora; Felidae
Also listed under: 3 other names
Rfam family: tRNA
About the family: Transfer RNA (tRNA) molecules are approximately 80 nucleotides in length. Their secondary structure includes four short double-helical elements and three loops (D, anti-codon, and T loops). Further hydrogen bonds mediate the characteristic L-shaped molecular structure. tRNAs have two regions of fundamental functional importance: the anti-codon, which is responsible for specific mRNA codon recognition, and the 3' end, to which the tRNAs corresponding amino acid is attached (by aminoacyl-tRNA synthetases). tRNAs cope with the degeneracy of the genetic code in two manners: having more than one tRNA (with a specific anti-codon) for a particular amino acid; and 'wobble' base-pairing, i.e. permitting non-standard base-pairing at the 3rd anti-codon position.
Source: Rfam by way of RNAcentral
GCCUGGAUGGCUCAGUCAGUUAAGCAUCUGACUUCAGCUCAGGUCAUGAUCUCACAGUUUGUGGGUUCAGUCCCAUGUCAGGCU